CAAAAACAAAACUUCAUCUUCUUCUGAACUUAAGCAACCAGACAAGUUCUUUUUCAACAGAAGAACUGAAGCUGGGGUUAUUUUCUAUCUCCCCUUUCCUUGCCUCACAAACAAGAUUUUGUAGGUUGAAAAACAAGAAACAAUACGAAGAAUGUUGGCUCGAAGUUUAACUGACAGAUCUGUCACACCCAACUAUGAUUCUAUUUUUGAGGCAUCCCUUUUCACAAUUAAAGUACAUCAUGGCAGAUUAUUUGUGCGUGGUCUGACAAGAGGCUACAUAGGUGAAAAAGUUGUAUUUUUUGACUAUGUAAACAGAACAAUGAUAAGCUUAUCAGAUUUUAAAAAUAUGGCCGAACAAUGUGGUUAUGACAAGGAGUCUGUGGUGUUCUGGCACAAGUAUGGUUUAACCCUUUAUAAGGUUCGGUUAGUUGGUAGCAAUAUUGAAGUAGCUAAACUUGCUACUUGCAUUCCAAAGGAUAGAGUGAUUGAGAUAUAUU
Molecule: long non-coding RNA, 497 nt
Organism: Solanum stenotomum
Lineage: Eukaryota; Viridiplantae; Streptophyta; Magnoliopsida; Solanales; Solanaceae
Exons: 3
Source: RefSeq, a predicted model, not a curated record